CUACGGGAGGCAGCAGUGGGGAAUAUUGGACAAUGGGCGAAAGCCUGAUCCAGCCAUGCCGCGUGAGUGAUGAAGGCCUUAGGGUUGUAAAGCUCUUUUGUCGGGGACGAUAAUGACGGUACCCGAAGAAUAAGCUCCGGCUAACUUCGUGCCAGCAGCCGCGGUAAUACGAAGGGGGCUAGCGUUGUUCGGAAUCACUGGGCGUAAAGCGCACGUAGGCGGAUCUUUAAGUCAGGGGUGAAAUCCCGGGGCUCAACCUCGGAACUGCCUUUGAUACUGGGGAUCUCGAGUUCGGGAGAGGUGAGUGGAACUGCGAGUGUAGAGGUGAAAUUCGUAGAUAUUCGGAGGAACACCAGUGGCGAAGGCGGCUCACUGGCUCGAUACUGACGCUGAGGUGCGAAAGCGUGGGGAGCAAACAGGAUUAGAAACCCUAGUAGUCC
Molecule: ribosomal RNA, 440 nt
Filed under: uncultured bacterium
Lineage: Bacteria
Description: bacterial SSU rRNA
Rfam family: Bacterial small subunit ribosomal RNA
Source: RNAcentral